Amphimedon queenslandica is the source of this 303-nucleotide long non-coding RNA. RefSeq lists it as uncharacterized. NCBI's taxonomy places the organism in Eukaryota, Metazoa, Porifera, Demospongiae, Haplosclerida, Niphatidae. The record is from RefSeq and is a predicted model, not a curated record. The transcript is spliced from 3 exons.
AAACAACAACAACAACAACAAGGAGCUGGUCCACUUUAUUCAACACUCAAUCAAGACGAUGAUACUCCUCCUCCUGUCCCUCCUGCCUAUAAUCCUGAGGGAGUACAGGAAUACUCUGUAUUGAAGAGAGAGGGAGAGAAUAAGGGUCAACAGGGUCUGUCUACUGGUGUUACUGGACUAUAUUCAACCAUUGAUAAAAACACCAACAACCAGGUGUUAGUUGAUGAAUCAGCUCAUAAGCCAGUGUAUGCUGAUCUGGCUAUUGCUGCUAAAGGGAAGAGACCACAGGCAGCACCAACACAA